Molecule: ribosomal RNA, 337 nt
Filed under: uncultured eukaryote
Lineage: Eukaryota
Description: SSU rRNA
Rfam family: Eukaryotic small subunit ribosomal RNA
Source: RNAcentral
AGCUCCAAUAGCGUAUAUUUAAGUUGUUGCAGUUAAAAGCUCGUAGUUGGAUUUCGGUUGAGAGCGGCCGGUCCGCCGUUCGGUGUGCACUGGCUGGUCUCAGCUUCCUGCGGAGGACGCGCUCUGGGCUUAACGGUCUGGACGUGGAGUCCGCGUGGUUACUUUGAAAAAAUUAGAGUGUUCAAAGCGGGCUUACGCUUGGAUAUUUCAGCAUGGAAUAACACUAUAGGACUCCUGUCCUAUUUCGUUGGUCUCGGGACGGGAGUAAUGAUUAAGAGGAACAGUUGGGGGCAUUCGUAUUUCAUUGUCAGAGGUGAAAUUCUUGGAUUUAUGAAAG